UGGGGAAUAUUGGGCAAUGGGCGAAAGCCUGACCCAGCAACGCCGCGUGAGGGAAGAAGGCCUUCGGGUUGUAAACCUCUGUCCUUAGUGACGAAGGAAGUGACGGUAGCUAAGGAGGAAGCCCCGGCUAACUACGUGCCAGCAGCCGCGGUAAUACGUAGGUGGCGAGCGUUAUCCGGAUUUACUGGGUGUAAAGGGCGCGUAGGCGGGAAUGCAAGUCAGAUGUGAAAUCCAAGGGCUCAACCCUUGAACUGCAUUUGAAACUGUAUUUCUUGAGUGUCGGAGAGGUUGACGGAAUUCCUAGUGUAGCGGUGAAAUGCGUAGAUAUUAGGAGGAACACCAGUGGCGAAGGCGGUCAACUGGACGAUAACUGACGCUGAGGCGCGAAAGCGUGGGGAGCAAACAGGAUUAGAUACCCUGGUAGU
This 425-nucleotide ribosomal RNA is filed under the name uncultured Clostridium sp. RNAcentral's name for it is "bacterial SSU rRNA". It matches the Rfam family "Bacterial small subunit ribosomal RNA", at positions 355 to 794 of the family's 1533-position model. Lineage: Bacteria; Bacillati; Bacillota; Clostridia; Eubacteriales; Clostridiaceae. The record is from RNAcentral.